Molecule: ribosomal RNA, 492 nt
Filed under: uncultured bacterium
Lineage: Bacteria
Description: partial 16S ribosomal RNA
Rfam family: Bacterial small subunit ribosomal RNA
Source: RNAcentral
GGUGAACGCUGGCGGUAGGCCUAACACAUGCAAGUCGAACGGCAGCACAGUAAGAGCUUGCUCUUACGGGUGGUGAGUGGCGGACGGGUGAGGAAUACAUCGGAAUCUACUUUUUCGUGGGGGAUAACGUAGGGAAACUUACGCUAAUACCGCAUACGACCUACGGGUGAAAGCAGGGGAUCUUCGGACCUUGCGCGAUUGAAUGAGCCGAUGUCGGAUUAGCUAGUUGGCGGGGUAAAGGCCCACCAAGGCGACGAUCCGUAGCUGGUCUGAGAGGAUGAUCAGCCACACUGGAACUGAGACACGGUCCAGACUCCUACGGGAGGCAGCAGUGGGGAAUAUUGGACAAUGGGCGCAAGCCUGAUCCAGCCAUACCACGUGGGUGAAGAAGGCCUUCGGGUUGUAAAGCCCUUUUGUUGGGAAAGAAAAGCAGCAGGUUAAUACCCCGCUGUUCUGACGGUACCCAAAGAAUAAGCACCGGCUAACUUCGUG